GACAGAGGGUGCAAACGUUGUUCGGAAUUACUGGGCGGCACGCGCGCGUCGGCUGCUCUCCCCUUCCUAUGUUAAAUCCCACGGCUCAACCAUGGAAGUGCAUUCGAAACUGCAGGGCUAGAGUUCUGGAGAGGAAGGUGGAAUGCUUGGUGUAGAGGUGAAAUUCGUAGAUAUCAAGCGGAACACCGGUGGCGAAGGCGGCCUUCUGGACAGUAACUGACGCUGAGACGCGAAAGCGUGGGGAGCAAACAGG
This 253-nucleotide ribosomal RNA is filed under the name uncultured bacterium. RNAcentral describes it as "partial 16S ribosomal RNA". It matches the Rfam family "Bacterial small subunit ribosomal RNA", at positions 524 to 776 of the family's 1533-position model. The record is from RNAcentral.